GAUGAACGCUAGCGGCAAGCUUAAUACAUGCAAGUCGUGGGGCAGCAUGAAGUAGCAAUACUUUGAUGGCGACCGGCAAACGGGUGCGGAACACGUACACAACCUCCCGAUAAGUGGGGAAUAGCCCAGAGAAAUUUGGAUUAAUACCCCGUAACAUUGCGAUGUGGCAUCACAUUGCAAUUAUAGCUUCGGCGCUUAUUGAUGGGUGUGCGUAUGAUUAGAUAGUUGGCGGGGUAACGGCCCACCAAGUCUACGAUCAUUAGCUGAUGUGAGAGCAUGAUCAGCCACACGGGCACUGAGACACGGGCCCGACUCCUACGGGAGGCAGCAGUAAGGAAUAUUGGUCAAUGGACGAAAGUCUGAACCAGCUAUGCCGCGUGAAGGAUUAAGGUCCUCUGGAUUGUAAACUUCUUUUAUAUGGGACGAAAAAAGGUCUUUACUAGAUCACUUGACGGUACCAUAUGAAUAAGCACGGCU
Molecule: ribosomal RNA, 477 nt
Filed under: uncultured bacterium
Lineage: Bacteria
Description: bacterial SSU rRNA
Rfam family: Bacterial small subunit ribosomal RNA
Source: RNAcentral